ACAAUAAAUUGCCCUGGACCCUUCAUCUCCCGAUUGGCCAGUUUUUGAGCAUGAGAUGGUAUAAAAAAACUAAAGGAGGUGGAGUUACAUCAAAAGUAAAGAAUGUUUAUUAAGAAUUUAAGAAUCUUACAGCAAAGAGGGAGUACGCACUUAAACUCUUGCUCCCCAUGGCAUUCAGGAAUUAACUUCUCACGUUCACUAGCUGUCAGGGCUGAGGACUGACAUGUGGCUUCCUUAAAAUUUAAUGUGGUACAGAUGUGCAGUGGGUUGGGAUACCAUAUCAUGACAACCCUUUAUGUUCUAGACCACCAAACAUACUAAAUAUGUAGAAUUCGAUGAAGUUUCUAGUUGGGGCAUCAAGCUGCUAAUGACUUCAUGGUCAGAAAGCAAAAGGUUUCAAUAGAGUGAGAGUGGGCUUUUCAAACAGUUCAGAAAUGUUAUUUAGUUCUGUUGCCAGUUGGACAUUCUACCUUUCAGAAUGUGUAUCAGCUACUGGAAUUUUUUUUUUUUUUCCUUUUGGAGACAGGGUCACUCUGUAGCUCAGAAUGGCCACAAACGCAAAAGUCAGUCCUCCUACCUGUUUCCAGGCUUGGAUUAUAUGCUGAGCUACCACACCCAGCUUGAGAAUGCUUAAGAGAAACAGGAAUUAGAGUUUAGACUAACGGUCCUUGUUAUAGUCCGAACGUGCCCCACCACAGACAUCAUGUGUUGGAAACACAUGACAUAACCUGAUAUGGUACGCGAGGUGAGGCCUUUACAAAGUACUUAAUCCUGAGGGCAGAUGGGUCCGUGCUCUAUUAGAGUGGUUCUUGAUAAAAGGAUGAGUUUGUCCCCUUACCUCUCCCGUCUUUGCUCUUCCUCUUCUUCCUCUGCAGUGUCCUGAUACAGCAAGGAAAUCCUCACUAGAUAACCUCACCUUCCCGACCGAUGACCUAGAGAAAGUCCAUCUCUUCUUCAUAAAGUACUCAGUCUCAGGUAGUCUGUCUGAGUCCCACAGAUGGAGCGUCCCUAAAAUCACUUCUGUUAUCUUACUAUUCUCUAACUAGGAAGACACUGUUCAAAUUGACUUCAUUUCAGAUAAACUUAGCAAACAGAAUUAACCUUUAAGAAGUAAUAUUUAAAAGAACUGAAAACAUUUCCAAUGCUUUGCUAGUCUGGUCAUGGUUUCCGCCUCUGGUCAAGAAUAUUUUAAGUGCUUAAGAAAUGAUGCAUUUCCUAGCAGAUUCUCAGAGUCACGUUGGAAAUGUUAUCAAAUGCUGAGCCUUUCUCAGGUAGGAAGAACAUGGACUUCCCAGAGUGAGUGCUUCAGCUUUCUGGUCAAGAUAGACUAGGGACUCAUGCAGAGUUUGGAGGGAGACAGUGGCUUGCUGUCAGAGAUGUUUCCUACGUGGACUUCAACUGCAUUUUGGAUAACUUGACAUAGAAGUUAAGACAGCUCUCCUGAUUUAAGCUGUCAUGUUGGUAGGAAAGGAACAUGGUGUAUUUUUAUUCCUUUAUUUUACACUAUAUCAUGAGAAAUUAUAUAAUUUUACUAUGCUCUAAAACUCACAUUAUGUAUGGGAAAGGUGUCACUGUUUCUGUUGUCACUAGUAAUCUUAUUAGGAUGUAAGGUCAAAGGCAGGUUACUUAAAUGCACAGCUACACCAACCACGUAAUAAUAUGGCCUUGGCUUUGAGGAGCUUUUUUUGUGGUAUUCAGCCUCAGACCCAGGGCUUGAAUAGCAGGCAGGUGUGCAGGUGCCACUGACUUAUAAAACUUUUUCUUUUUUUUUUUUUUUACAUUAGACUUUUUUAAUUAGAUAUUUUCUUUAUUUACAUUUCAAAUGUUAUCCCCUUUCCUAGUUUCCCCUCUGAAAAUUCCGUAUCCCCUCCCAUUCCCCCCAACUCACCCACUCCCAUUCCUGGCCCUGGCAUUCCCCUAUACCGGGGCAUAGAACCUUCACAGGACCAAGGGCCUCUCCUCCCAUUGAUGACCAACUAGGCCAUCCUCUGCUACAUACGAAGCUCGAGCCAUGAGUCCCACCAUGUGUUUUUUUUGGUUGGUGGUUUAGUCCCUGGGAGCUCUGGGGGUACUGGUUUGUUCAUAUUUUUGUUCCUUCUAUGGGGCUUGCAAACUCCUUCAGCUCCUUGGGUCCUUUCUCUAGCUACUUCAUUGGGGACCCUGUGCUCUGUCCAAUGGAUGGCUAUGAGCAUCCACUUCUGUAUUUGUCAGGCACUGGCAGAGCCUGUCAGGAGACAGCUAUAUCAGGCUCCUGUCAGCAUGCUCUUGUUGGCAUCUGCAAUAGUGUCGGGUUUGGUGAUUGUUAAUGGGAUGGAUCUCCAGGUGGGGCAGUCUCUGGAUGGUCAUUUGUUCAGUUUCUGCUCCAUGCUUUAUCUCUGUAACUCCUUCCAUGGGUAUUUUGUUUUCCCUUCUAAGAAGGAUCAAAGUAUCCACACUUUGGUGUUCCUUCUUCUUGAGUUUCAUGUGUUUUGUGAAUUGUAUCUUGGGUAUUCUGAGCUUCUGGGCUAAUAUCCACUGGGCUAAUAUACCACUUAGCUAUACAACUAAUUCUUAAGAAUGUUUUAUCAGUUCUUCCUAGGCUUGUGGGAAACAAGAGGAUGUGUGGUACAUAAUUCUUGGUUAGGGUCAGAUGUUAAAAUAACCCAGCUCU
RNAcentral lists this long non-coding RNA (2650 nucleotides) under Mus musculus (house mouse). Its description in RNAcentral is "long non-coding RNA chr1:143746751-143749401". Lineage: Eukaryota; Metazoa; Chordata; Mammalia; Rodentia; Muridae. The record is from RNAcentral.